RNAcentral lists this unclassified non-coding RNA (376 nucleotides) under soil metagenome. RNAcentral's name for it is "partial contains 5.8S ribosomal RNA, internal transcribed spacer 2, and large subunit ribosomal RNA". The stretch from base 2 to 121 matches the Rfam family "5.8S ribosomal RNA", at positions 35 to 154 of the family's 154-position model. The record is from RNAcentral.
GGAUGAAGAACGUAGCGAAAUGCGAUAAGUAAUGUGAAUUGCAGAAUUCAGUGAAUCAUCGAAUCUUUGAACGCACAUUGCGCCCGCCAGUAUUCUGGCGGGCAUGCCUGUUCGAGCGUCAUUUCAACCCUCAAGACCCCUUCGGGGGACUUGGUGUUGGGGACCGGCACAGGGGCCUGCCUGCUUGUCUUGCAGCGCCCUCGCCGCCCCCGAAAUGAAUUGGCGGCCUCGUCGCGGCCUCCCCUGCGUAGUAGCACAACCUCGCAACGGGAACGUGACGGCGGCCACUGCCGUAAAACAACCCCAAUUUUAUUAGAGUUGACCUCGAAUCAGGUAGGAAUACCCGCUGAACUUAAGCAUAUCAAUAAGCGGAGGA